CCUUUUCAGCAUGGAGGCUGCAGUUCGCUGCAGUUUCCUGCCUGUAUCCCUUGUCUUUUGCGUACUUGAUUGUUUCCUCGGCGGCUCACCCCGCCGAACGGACACCCAAACAAACCUUUUUUGCAAUUGAAGUCAACGUCUGAAACAAAUUAUAAUAUUUA
Molecule: unclassified non-coding RNA, 161 nt
Filed under: soil metagenome
Description: partial internal transcribed spacer 1
Source: RNAcentral